This 279-nucleotide ribosomal RNA is filed under the name uncultured bacterium. RNAcentral describes it as "partial 16S ribosomal RNA". It matches the Rfam family "Bacterial small subunit ribosomal RNA", at positions 506 to 784 of the family's 1533-position model. The record is from RNAcentral.
UGCCAGCCGCCGCGGUAAGACGGGGGGCUCUAACGUUGUUCGGAAUCACUGGGCAUAAAGCGCACGUAGGCGGCUUGUUAAGUCUGAUGUGAAAGCCCCCGGCUCAACCGGGGAACUGCAUCGGAAACUGACAGGCUCGAGGACGGCAGGGGUAAGUGGAACUCCAGGUGGAACGGUGAAAUGUGUAGAUAUCUGGAGGAACACCGGUGGCGAAAGCGGCUUACUGGGCCGUCUCUGACGCUGAGGUGCGAAAGCUAGGGUAGCGAACGGGAUUAGAUA